CCUACGGGAGGCUGCAGUGAGGAAUAUUGGUCAAUGGGCGCGAGCCUGAACCAGCCAAGUCGCGUGAAGGAUGACUGCCCUACGGGUUGUAAACUUCUUUUAUAAAGGAAUAAAGUGAGGCAUGUGUGCCUUUUUGUAUGUACUUUAUGAAUAAGGAUCGGCUAACUCCGUGCCAGCAGCCGCGGUAAUACGGAGGCUCCGAGCGUUAUCCGGAUUUAUUGGGUUUAAAGGGAGCGUAGAUGGGUUGUUAAGUCAGUUGUGAAAGAUUGCGGCUCAACCGUAAAAUUGCAAUUGAUACUGUCAGCCUUGAGUACAGUAGAGGUAGGCGGAAUUCGUGGUGUAGCGGUGAAAUGCUUAGAGAUCACGAAGAACACCGAUUGCGAAGGCAGCUUACUAAACUUCCACUGACGCUGAUGCUCGAAAGUGUGGGUAUCAAACAGGAUUAGAUACCCUUGUAGUC
Molecule: ribosomal RNA, 460 nt
Filed under: uncultured bacterium
Lineage: Bacteria
Description: partial 16S ribosomal RNA
Rfam family: Bacterial small subunit ribosomal RNA
Source: RNAcentral